This 253-nucleotide ribosomal RNA is filed under the name uncultured bacterium. RNAcentral's name for it is "partial 16S ribosomal RNA". It matches the Rfam family "Bacterial small subunit ribosomal RNA", at positions 524 to 776 of the family's 1533-position model. The record is from RNAcentral.
UACGUAGGGUGCAAGCGUUGUCCGGAAUUAUUGGGCGUAAAGAGCUCGUAGGCGGUCUGUCGCGUCGGCUGUGAAAACCCGGGGCUCAACCCCGGGCCUGCAGUCGAUACGGGCAGACUAGAGUGCGGUAGGGGAGACUGGAAUUCCUGGUGUAGCGGUGAAAUGCGCAGAUAUCAGGAGGAACACCGGUGGCGAAGGCGGGUCUCUGGGUAGUAACUGACGCUGAGGAACGAAAGCGUGGGUAGCGAACAGG